ACCCGCUGAACUUAAGCAUAUCAAUAAGCGGAGGAAAAGAAACCAACAGGGAUUGCCCUAGUAACGGCGAGUGAAGCGGCAACAGCUCAAAUUUGAAAUCUGGCUCUUUUAGAGUCCGAGUUGUAAUUUGCAGAGGGCGCUUUGGCUUUGGCAGCGGUCCAAGUUCCUUGGAACAGGACGUCACAGAGGGUGAGAAUCCCGUACGUGGUCGCUGGCUAUUGCCGUGUAAAGCCCCUUCGACGAGUCGAGUUGUUUGGGAAUGCAGCUCUAAAUGGGAGGUACAUUUCUUCUAAAGCUAAAUAUUGGCCAGAGACCGAUAGCGCACAAGUAGAGUGAUCGAAAGAUGAAAAGCACUUUGGAAAGAGAGUCAAACAGCACGUGAAAUUGUUGAAAGGGAAGCGCUUGCAGCCAGACUUGCCUGUAGUUGCUCAUCCGGGCUUUUGCCCGGUGCACUCUUCUGUAGGCAGGCCAGCAUCAGUUUGGGCGGUAGGAUAAGGGUCUCUGUCACGUACCUCUCUUCGGGGAGGCCUUAUAGGGGAGACGACAUACUACCAGCCUGGACUGAGGUCCGCGCAUCUGCUAGGAUGCUGGCGUAAUGGCUGU
This 603-nucleotide ribosomal RNA is filed under the name uncultured fungus. RNAcentral describes it as "eukaryotic LSU rRNA". It matches the Rfam family "Eukaryotic large subunit ribosomal RNA", at positions 23 to 641 of the family's 3401-position model. The record is from RNAcentral. Lineage: Eukaryota; Fungi.